RNAcentral lists this ribosomal RNA (1352 nucleotides) under Azospira oryzae. Its description in RNAcentral is "bacterial SSU rRNA". It matches the Rfam family "Bacterial small subunit ribosomal RNA", at positions 28 to 1375 of the family's 1533-position model. Lineage: Bacteria; Pseudomonadati; Pseudomonadota; Betaproteobacteria; Rhodocyclales; Rhodocyclaceae. The record is from RNAcentral.
GNGUAACGCUAGCGGGNAGCCUAACACAUGCAAGCCGAGCGGUAUGGAUAGCUUGCUAUCCAGAGAGCGGCGUACGGGUGCGUAACACGUGUGCAACCUGCCUUUAUCUGGGGGAUAGCCUUUCGAAAGGAAGAUUAAUACCCCAUAAUAUGGUGUCCGGCAUCGGACGCUAUUGAAAGCCUCGGCGGAUAGAGAUGGGCACGCGCAAGAUUAGAUAGUUGGUGGGGUAACGGCCCACCAAGUCGAUGAUCUUUAGGGGUCCUGAGAGGGAGAUCCCCCACACUGGUACUGAGACCCGGACCAGACUCCUACGGGAGGCAGCAGUGAGGAAUAUUGGACAAUGGGUGGAAGCCUGAUCCAGCCAUCCCGCGUGAAGGAUGACGGUCCUAUGGAUUGUAAACUUCUUUUGUACAGGGAUAAACCUGCCCUCGUGAGGGUAGCUGAAGGUACUGUACGAAUAAGCACCGGCUAACUUCGUGCCAGCAGCCGCGGUAAUACGUAGGGUGCGAGCGUUAAUCGGAAUUACUGGGCGUAAAGCGUGCGCAGGCGGUUUCGUAAGACAGACGUGAAAUCCCCGGGCUCAACCUGGGAACUGCGUUUGUGACUGCGAGGCUAGAGUACGGCAGAGGGGGGUAGAAUUCCACGUGUAGCAGUGAAAUGCGUAGAGAUGUGGAGGAAUACCGAUGGCGAAGGCAGCCCCCUGGGUUAGUACUGACGCUCAUGCACGAAAGCGUGGGGAGCAAACAGGAUUAGAUACCCUGGUAGUCCACGCCCUAAACGAUGUCAACUAGGUGUUGGAAGGGUUAAACCUUUUAGUACCGCAGCUAACGCGUGAAGUUGACCGCCUGGGGAGUACGGCCGCAAGGUUAAAACUCAAAGGAAUUGACGGGGACCCGCACAAGCGGUGGAUGAUGUGGAUUAAUUCGAUGCAACGCGAAAAACCUUACCUACCCUUGACAUGCCAGGAACUUUCCAGAGAUGGAUUGGUGCCCGAAAGGGAGCCUGGACACAGGUGCUGCAUGGCUGUCGUCAGCUCGUGUCGUGAGAUGUUGGGUUAAGUCCCGCAACGAGCGCAACCCUUGUCAUUAAUUGCCAUCAUUUAGUUGGGCACUUUAAUGAGACUGCCGGUGACAAACCGGAGGAAGGUGGGGAUGACGUCAAGUCCUCAUGGCCCUUAUGGGUAGGGCUUCACACGUCAUACAAUGGUCGGUACAGAGGGUUGCCAAGCCGCGAGGUGGAGCCAAUCCCAGAAAGCCGAUCGUAGUCCGGAUCGCAGUCUGCAACUCGACUGCGUGAAGUCGGAAUCGCUAGUAAUUCGCGGAUUCAGCAUGUUCGCGGUNAANACGUAACCC